RNAcentral lists this ribosomal RNA (852 nucleotides) under uncultured bacterium. Its description in RNAcentral is "bacterial SSU rRNA". It matches the Rfam family "Bacterial small subunit ribosomal RNA", at positions 9 to 873 of the family's 1533-position model. The record is from RNAcentral.
AGAGUUUGAUCAUGGCUCAGCCUGAACGCUGGCGGCGUGGCUAAGACAUGCAAGUCGCACGGUGUAGCGUAGCAAUACGCUGCACAGUGGCGAACGGGUGAGUAAUGAAUCGCUAAUGUACCCCGGAUUCUGGGAUAGCUAACCGAAAGGUUAGGUAAUACCAGAUGAUAUAACCGAACCGCAUGGUUUGGUUCUCAAAGGAGCAAUCCGCUCUGGGAGCAGGCGAUUUCGUAUCAGCUUGUUGGUGAGGUAAUGGCUCACCAAGGCGACGACGCGUAGCCGGACUGAGAGGUUGGCCGGCCACAUUGGGACUGAGACACUGCCCAGACUCCUACGGGGGGCUGCAGUAACGAAUCUUCCGCAAUGCACGAAAGUGUGACGGAGCGACGCCGCGUGUAGGACGAAGCCCUUCGGGGUGUAAACUACUGUCAGGGGUUAGAAAGUUCUGAUCAACCCCAGAGGAAGGGACGGCUAACUCUGUGCCAGCAGCCGCGGUAAGACAGAGGUCCCGAGCGUUAGGCGGAAUCACUGGGCUUAAAGCGUGUGUAGGCGGAUCUAUAAGUACCUUGUGAAAUCCCACGGCUUAACCGUGGAACUGCUUGGUAUACUGUAGAUCUUGAGCCACCUAGGGGCGAGCGGAACAAGUGGUGGAGCGGUGAAAUGCGUAGAUAUCACUUGGAACGCCAAUGGUGAAAACAGCUCGCUGGGGGUGUGCUGACGCUGAGACACGAAAGCCAGGGGAGCAAACGGGAUUAGAUACCCCGGUAGUCCUGGCUGUAAACGAUGUCGACUAGAUCGUGGUGGCUCUGACGCUAUCACGGUCGAAGCAAAAGUGCUAAGUCGACCGCCUGA